Molecule: ribosomal RNA, 257 nt
Filed under: uncultured bacterium
Lineage: Bacteria
Description: partial 16S ribosomal RNA
Rfam family: Bacterial small subunit ribosomal RNA
Source: RNAcentral
GUAGAGUAAUACAUAAGUAACCUGCCCUAGACAGGGGGAUAACUAUUGGAAACGAUAGCUAAGACCGCAUAGGUACGGACACUGCAUGGUGACCGUAUUAAAAGUGCCUCAAAGCACUGGUAGAGGAUGGACUUAUGGCGCAUUAGCUGGUUGGCGGGGUAACGGCCCACCAAGGCGACGAUGCGUAGCCGACCUGAGAGGGUGACCGGCCACACUGGGACUGAGACACGGCCCAGACUCCUACGGGAGGCAGCAUG